UAAGGCGAGGCAGAGAUGCGUAGCUGAUGGGAAGCAGGUUAAUAUUCCUGCACCGUCGUUAGAUGCGAUGGGGGGACGGAUCGCGGAAGGUUGUCCGGGUGUUGGAUGUCCCGGUUUCUGUAUCAGAGAAGGCUGUUAGGCAAAUCCGGCAGCGUAAUUCAAGGGUAUGGGACGAGCGAACUUGUUCGCGAAGCAAUCGGAAGUGGUUCCAAGAAAAGCCUCUAAGCUUCAGUCUAACGAGACCGUACCGCAAACCGACACAGGUGGGCGAGAUGAGUAUUCUAAGGCGCUUGAGAGAACUCGGGAGAAGGAACUCGGCAAAUUGGUACCGUAACUUCGGGAUAAGGUACGCCCUUGUAGUUUGACUGGCCUGCGCCAGAAGGACGAAGGGGUUGCAAUAAACUGGUGGCUGCGACUGUUUAAUAAAAACACAGCACUCUGCAAACACGAAAGUGGACGUAUAGGGUGUGACGCCUGCCCGGUGCUGGAAGAUUAAAUGAUGGGGUGCAAGCUCUUGAUUGAAGUCCCAGUAAACGGCGGCCGUAACAAUAACGGUCCUAAGGUAGCGAAAUUCCUUGUCGGGUAAGUUCCGACCUGCACGAAUGGCGUAACGACUUCCCCACUGUCUCCAGGACAUGCUCAGCGAAAUUGAAUUCUCCGUGAAGAUGCGGAGUACCCGCGGUUAGACGGAAAGACCCCGUGCACCUUUACUGCAGCUUCAGAGUGGCAUUAGGAAAGAACUGUGUAGCAUAGGUGGGAGGCUUUGAAGCAUUGGCGCCAGCCGGUGUGGAGCCAUAGGUGAAAUACCACCCUGUUGUUUUCUGAUGUCUAACCUGCGUCCAUGAAACUGGACGAGGGACCCUCUGUGGCGGGUAGUUUGACUGGGGCGGUCGCCUCCUAAAGAGUAACGGAGGCGCGCGAAGGUUGGCUCAGGACGGUUGGAAACCGUCUGUUAGAGUGCAAUGGCAUAAGCCAGCCUGACUGCGAGACUGACAAGUCGAGCAGGUACGAAAGUAGGACAUAGUGAUCCGGUGGUUCUGUAUGGAAGGGCCAUCGCUCAACGGAUAAAAGGUACUCUGGGGAUAACAGGCUGAUUCCUCCCAAGAGUUCAUAUCGACGGGGGAGUUUGGCACCUCGAUGUCGGCUCAUCACAUCCUGGGGCUGUAGCCGGUCCCAAGGGUAUGGCUGUUCGCCAUUUAAAGUGGUA
Molecule: ribosomal RNA, 1207 nt
Filed under: Diversispora versiformis
Lineage: Eukaryota; Fungi; Glomeromycota; Glomeromycetes; Diversisporales; Diversisporaceae
Description: bacterial LSU rRNA
Rfam family: Bacterial large subunit ribosomal RNA
Source: RNAcentral